Molecule: ribosomal RNA, 879 nt
Filed under: Laccaria tortilis
Lineage: Eukaryota; Fungi; Basidiomycota; Agaricomycetes; Agaricales; Hydnangiaceae
Description: LSU rRNA
Rfam family: Eukaryotic large subunit ribosomal RNA
Source: RNAcentral
CUAACAAGGAUUCCCCUAGUAACUGCGAGUGAAGCGGGAAAAGCUCAAAUUUAAAAUCUGGCAGCCUUUGGCUGUCUGAGUUGUAAUCUAGAGAAGUAUUAUCCGCGCUGGACCGUGUACAAGUCUCCUGGAAUGGAGCGUCAUAGAGGGUGAGAAUCCCGUCUUUGACACGGACUGCCAGGGCUUUGUGAUGUGCUCUCAAAGAGUCGAGUUGUUUGGGAAUGCAGCUCAAAAUGGGUGGUAAAUUCCAUCUAAAGCUAAAUAUUGGCGAGAGACCGAUAGCGAACAAGUACCGUGAGGGAAAGAUGAAAAGAACUUUGGAAAGAGAGUUAAACAGUACGUGAAAUUGCUGAAAGGGAAACGCUUGAAGUCAGUCGCGUUGGCCAGGGAUCAACCUUGCUUUUUUGCUUGGCUUACUUUCUGGUCGAUGGGUCAGCAUCAAUUUUGACUGGUGGAAAAAGUUCAAGGGAAUGUGGCAUCUUCGGAUGUGUUAUAGCCUUUGUUCUCAUACAUCGGUUGGGAUUGAGGAACUCAGCACGCCGCAAGGCCGGGUUUUUAACCACGUACGUGCUUAGGAUGCUGGCAUAAUGGCUUUAAUCGACCCGUCUUGAAACACGGACCAAGGAGUCUAACAUGCCUGCGAGUGUUUGGGUGAAAAACCCGAGCGCGUAAUGAAAGUGAAAGUUGAGAUCCCUGUCAUGGGGAGCAUUGACGCCCGGAUCUGACCUUUUGUGACGAUUCUGCGGUAGAGCAUGUAUGUUGGGACCCGAAAGAUGGUGAACUAUGCCUGAAUAGGGUGAAGCCAGAGGAAACUCUGGUGGAGGCUCGUAGCGAUUCUGACGUGCAAAUCGAUCGUCAAAUUUGGGUAUAGGGGCGAAA